UGCUGGUUUGAGUUUGCUGCUGGUGGCCACCAUGAACUGCAGUCCAGCCAUGCCUGCCUGUCUUGGAGACAACUGAGUGUGGACUGAAACCUCCAAAAACACCCUUCAUCUCUGUCCCCUCUCCAGGCGAGGCCCAGAGAACAAUCCACGGAACGGAUCAAGUGGUGCCCAAAUGUGGGGCAGACCUGGCAUGAGGGAUAACGAUGUGGGACCAUUCACGGGGGUAAAGUGCCGGCUGGCGUGACUGUUUUGGGACUUCGUUCCUGUGAUCUCUGCAGAAGGCCACCCUACAUCUCACCUGAAUCACGGUCUUCGAAUUUCAAUUGACUUCUGAGGACAUGAAAGUGAUAGAUGGCCUGAACAGAAACUUGAGAUAUCUUCCUGCUGAGUUGAUCUCCAUGGCCUUCCCGCAGGCCAGGACAAGAAGAUCCCCAAUGUGGGACCUGAGAAUGGGGGACUUCGUGAGGGAAGCUAUUUGUGGGCCCAAAGUAGAAAAAAGAAAAGGAAAUAGAGGACCUGGCAACAUGGGAGCCUGCCAUGCUGCUAAACCUUGAUGAUGAAAUUGAAAAUCUGGAUCCUACCACUGGGAAUUUUUAUGGCCCUACUGCAGACCUCACAUAGCGCCUUUGACCUCCAAAAAGCAAAGAACAAAUAUUAAAGCAAUUGUAUGAUAACCCCUGUGACUGCAGGGGAUGUUUUACCCAUGAUAAAUAUAACAAAGGCCUUGCUUUGCAUGUCAUGGGAGAUACAGCCAAUCUUAUGGUACACAAAUAGGCAAUACCAAAGUAUACACAUAUUCUCAACAGACAGAUUGUGGAGACAAGAUAGCAUACCUUACUGCCCACCCAACUGUCACAGGCAGAAUGUGCCAAAGUUGGAGGUAUGGAAGAGUAUGGAGGAGUUGUGAAGUUCACAAACCCAACAUCAAUGUCAGAGGUAUCAUUAUGAAAACUGGGUAUCGUGUGAUACCUAGUGUCAAUGGCCACCUGGGGCCAUGCCCUGAAAUAUGUCCUUACAAAAUGGAGAUGCAUUCUUCCUGCUAUGACUCAGUGCAGGAGUGCAUGGGAAAAGACAAUAAGAUUUAUUUCACUGCUGUGUUUCAGAGACCUAAUGCUGGAAGUUUUGAGGGCAAGGGGCCCGGCAUCCCACAGGUCCUUGGAAAUUCAAAAUGUGCCCAGGCCUCAUGCAGCAGUGCAAUUAGUAGCCCGGUGUACUGGAGCAAGUUAGCCCCAGUACAUUUUUCAGAUGGUGGUGGACCCAAGACAAGGUUAGAAAACUUCAAGUACAAAAAUCCAUAGAGCAAAUUAUAGAACAAAAGUUCCCCAAGAUAAAUUAUCAUUCACUGGCUCUCCCCAAGUUGAGAUGUGUAGAGCUAGAUACCCAGACCUUAGAUAUCAUAGAAGCCACUUAUAUAGCCCUUAAAGUUUCUAACCCUGAUUUGGCUAAAGACUGUUGGCUGUGCAGACAAUGGGUGUGACCCUAGGCACACCCAUUUCCCUUGCUAUUACCUCAGAUUCUGUCCCACAUAACUUUGUAAAUCUUAACUGUAGUGCCAGCCUCCCCUUCACAAUGCAGCCUGUAGGUUUCAGAGAUUCUCCCUGCUUUCAAGGAAGUUUUCAUGACGAUACCUCUGACAUUGAUGUUGGGUUUGUGAACUUCACUAACUGCUGUUCUAUAAUUGACUAGACUACCCCUCUUUGCAUGACUAGGGGACAUGUAUUUGUCUGUGGAGGAAACAUGGCUUUCACAUUUCUGCCUGCCAAUUGGACAGGGUUUUGUGUCAUGGCUACCCUACUACCUGACAUAGAUGUUAUAUCUGGAGUUGAGCCUGUUCCCAUUCCCAGUCUUGAUUACAUUGCAGGCCUUACCAAGAGAGCAGUGCAGUUUAUUCCCAUGCUGAUAGGACUAGGGAUUUCAGGAGCCCUAAAAACAGGUACUACAGGACUAGGAGUCACAGUGCAUUAAACAACAAACUUUUCAAUCAGCUUAUUGAUGAUGUUCAGGCAUUGUCUAGUACUAUUCAGGACAUUCAAGAUCAAGUAGAUUCAUUAGCUGAGGUAGCUCUUCAAAACAAAAGAGCGUUAGACCUCCUAACAGCAGAGCAGGGAGGGAUCUGUUUGGCAUUGCAGGAAUGCUGCUGCUUCUAUGCAAACAAGUCUGGCAUUGUUCAAGACAAAAUUAAGAAACUGCAAGAAGUUCUGGUAAAAAGGAAAAGAAAGCUAUUUGAAAACCCUCUCUGGAGUGCCUGGAAUGGAAUCCUGCCUUAUCUCCUUCCCUUGCUCAGACCAUUGCUAGCACUGUUAAUUUUACUUUCAUUAGACCCUUUUCUUUUUAAUAAAUUGAUGGCUUUUGUCAAACAACA
Molecule: long non-coding RNA, 2362 nt
Organism: Cavia porcellus (domestic guinea pig)
Lineage: Eukaryota; Metazoa; Chordata; Mammalia; Rodentia; Caviidae
Exons: 5
Source: RefSeq, a predicted model, not a curated record